Molecule: ribosomal RNA, 468 nt
Filed under: uncultured bacterium
Lineage: Bacteria
Description: partial 16S ribosomal RNA
Rfam family: Bacterial small subunit ribosomal RNA
Source: RNAcentral
GAUGAACGCUGGCGGCGUGCUUAACACAUGCAAGUCGAACGGAAAGGCCCUGCUUUUGUGGGGUUCUCGAGUGGCGAACGGGUGAGUAACACGUGUGUAACCUGCCCUUGACUUUGGGAUAACUUCAGGAAACUGGGGCUAAUACCGGAUAGGAGCUCCUGCUGCAUGGUGGGGGUUGGAAAGUUUCGGCGGUUGGGGAUGGACUCGCGGCUUAUCAGCUUGUUGGUGGGGUAGUGGCUUACCAAGGCUUUGACGGGUAGCCGGCCUGAGAGCGUGACCGGGCACAUGGGGACUAAGAGACGGCCCAGACGCGUACGGGAGGCAACAGGGGGGAGUAUUGCACAAUGGGCGGGAGCCUGAGGCAGCAGCGCCGCGUGCGGGAUGACGGCUUUUGGGUUGUAAACCGCUUUCGACUGAGACGAAGCGUGAGUGACGGUAAUGGGUAAAGAAGCACCGGCUAACUACGUG